RNAcentral lists this small RNA (508 nucleotides) under Cryptococcus neoformans H99. RNAcentral describes it as "Cryptococcus neoformans var. grubii H99 hypothetical RNA". The record is from RNAcentral. Lineage: Eukaryota; Fungi; Basidiomycota; Tremellomycetes; Tremellales; Cryptococcaceae.
UGACUACUGUUACAGCAGCUGCUGUUGCUUAUGGCUAAAGGCUCUGCAAUGUGCGGUCUGAGGUCUGCGGUUAGCUGUGUACACAAGUACAACAAUCUCCUACUCCUCCUUCUCUAUAUCAUUAUUGUGGCCUCAUUUAGUAGGCGAGCGCAGUAUAGGACGUCGCGAAAUGGUGAAUCAUUGUACUGGAACUGGCACUAUUUGUUAUGGGGGAAUCGCCUCGCAGUGGUAACUCUCGCUAGAGUCAAUACUGAUACAGUAAGAAUGCUAAGAUUGAGGCUCAUGAUAAGGGAAAAAAAAUAAAAAUAAAAAUAAAAAUACAUGUACUAGCAAAUAGAAGAAGAGGAGGAGGUAAAGGAGAACAACAGAUGAUGCUAUUGAUAAUGGGACAAUGUUUUGUUCUGUGUGGUUUUUUUUUUUCCUGCCCGAAUACGAACCGUUCAAUACAUCGUAUCAGUCAUCAUGACCAACGAUAAUAACGCUAGGCCGUCCAACGGCAUCAUCUAUU